GGCAGCAGCAGGCAGGCGGGCAGGCUGGGAGUUUGCAUGGGAAUCAUGAAAUCUUGUCUUUCUCUUUUGAAAUGUUUUGGAAGGAGAGUUAAGAAUAGCUCCGAAACUGGUCUUGUUGUUUUUGUGGGAAGAAUGACCAGAAGCAUAAAAGCUGCAUUUUCCAGUGAGUGCAGGACACCUCUUUUGGUGUUUGCAAUAAACCUAACAGAACGAACUGCUAUCUGUAAAGUACUGUGCCAUGACACCUAAAAUGAAGGGAAUGGGAAAGCAAAGUAAUGGCUCAAAGGCUGCUACCGAGAGCUUUUGUCUACCUUUAACUCAUUGUGAAACUUGACAUCAUCAGAUAGUGAACCAAGAGUUACUGACAGCUGCGGCCAAAUGAUGACCUCAGCUUAAUCUUGGCAUUUUUGCAAGAAACAGACUCUAACUACUGCCUGAUGAAGAAGUCAGAGAGACUACUGCCACCAAAAAGUCCUCCCUGUGGUCAGGAACCACAGCUUCCUUUUUAACAUAAGCAAAGUUGGACAUUCCAAAGAUGGCGUAGAUGAACAUGACCAGGAAGAGCAGGAGGCCAAUGUUAAACAAGGCGGGAAGGGACAUCAUCAGAGCAAAGAGCAGCGUGCGGAUCCCCUUCGCCCCUUUGAUCAGACGCAAGAUUCGACCAAUCCUGGCGAGACGGAUCACUCGGAACAGGGUAUCCAGGAGAGCCUUCAGGCCAGUGUUAAGAGAACUACUUAUGAGCAGAAACUGAAUGCCAUACCAUGUCAAGAACUUACCAGAAGAAGCUAGGAAAACACUGGGAAGAGAACUCUGAAUUAGAGCUCCUGAGAUACCUAAUCCAGAGUCUGAUGCCAAGCUGACAGACUAAACCAAGUCAACAUGGUGGCUUUGAAAAUUGAAGUCAGUGAGUCAUGAAGAACAUCUUAUCCCAAUUUUCUCCUUUGAAUUUUCAACGUGUGAACAUGCGACUACGUACCACUAGAUUUCCAAUGACCAUGACCAUCAUGUAAACUAUAAGGCACAUGGCUUGACCAGCGACCUCCAUACAGUCCCACAUGGUUUCUAUCCACUCUCCACACAGCACGCGGAAGACAAUCAGGAAGGAGUGGAAGAAAUCAUUCAUGUGCCAGCGUGGGAGUGUACAGUCUUCAUUGAUCUUGCAGACACAUUCUUUGUAGCUUUUACCAAAGAGCUGCAUGCCAACCACAGCAAAAAUGAAGACGAUGAUGGCCAACACCAAGAAUUACAUGGAGACUGUAAUGGAUGUUUCUUAUUACCAAGGAAGAUCUCAUGAAUUGCUCUGAGUGGAUGAGGAUAAAUGACUCAGCGUGAAAAGGACGACGGAGACUGGUGGGCACUGUAGCAAAAUGGAGAAUGUAAGCUCCAUCUGAAAGAGGUGACCACUGUUCAGCUCUAAAGGAUUGUUGCCAUGCAGGAAUAUGAGCUCAGUCUUACCAGGUGCACUCAUUUUUGUGUGAAAAUGUCUUGUUUUUAAAUUUUGGCAACUAAUUCAAAGUUUAAACACUAUGCUGGUUCAGUGCAGGCCAACAAUACACACACACACA
This is a long non-coding RNA of Neofelis nebulosa (Clouded leopard), 1565 nucleotides long. RefSeq lists it as uncharacterized. NCBI's taxonomy places the organism in Eukaryota, Metazoa, Chordata, Mammalia, Carnivora, Felidae. The transcript is spliced from 7 exons. The record is from RefSeq and is a predicted model, not a curated record.